This 63-nucleotide transfer RNA is filed under the name Araneus ventricosus. RNAcentral's name for it is "tRNA-Gln". Lineage: Eukaryota; Metazoa; Arthropoda; Arachnida; Araneae; Araneidae. The record is from RNAcentral.
UUUGUUAAAGUGUGAGGCACAUAAAAAUUUGAUUUUUAAGGAGGCAAAACUUGCCUAACAAAA